This 4591-nucleotide long non-coding RNA is filed under the name Daphnia pulex (common water flea). RNAcentral describes it as "uncharacterized LOC124210518, transcript variant X1". The stretch from base 4355 to 4431 matches the Rfam family "mir-87 microRNA precursor family". The record is from RNAcentral. Lineage: Eukaryota; Metazoa; Arthropoda; Branchiopoda; Diplostraca; Daphniidae.
AGUUGGUGGCGUGGUAGGCACAGAUGAAAGGUUGUUUCUAUUUCGAGUGGCGUUUCUAAAUGGACGAAAAAAAAGUAUCUGCAAGAAAGUAGAUUGCAAAAAGGAAUUGCCUCAAGUGUUCUAAUAGGUUUUUGGCACGCUGGGGAAGAGGAGAAGGACGACGUGGUUGUGUGGCAUAUCUCCCUCGCGUGAUCGCAACGUUUCUCUCAGUCUCUCUGUAGCCCGGCUGAUUUGCGAGGCCAGCAGUGAAGAACACAAACAGUCGCAAGAGAAAUAUCGUUUGCAGUGCACUUUUCUUUUGCCAUUGCCAACAAGAAGGAGACGACGAUUCUUGUUGCAGAUCGAGUGAGACCUGCGCCGAGAGAAGCGCGAAAUGCCGGAUAAAGAGCAAGUUGUCCGGCCGUCAAGACCUCACAAAGGACCAACAUCCAACACCCGAAAGACGUUCGUCGUACAUCGAGCGUGUCACGAUAUAAAAAACUUUAAUAACACUCAAAAUCACUCGUCGAGUCUAUCCUCGACUGGUCUGGGUUAGACUCGGUUGGCAGCCAUCACUUUCUCCCGUCCCGGCCACGUGACGAAGGAAAUCCCAUCGCCAGAGAAAUGCGGUCGAGCCAGCUUUUUCGACGAAUUCUGCUCCGCAUCAAAUUGGACGACGUCUGGCUCCUGAUGUGCGACGCUUGAUGGUCUCCUCACAAAGAUGAAGACUCGCAGACUGGACGCGUCAGCUGCCAGCUGGAAAACGUACCUGACGAUUCCCGGUGAUUCUCCGCUCGCGUCUUCGGAACGAAAUUAGCGAAUCUCCUUCGCUCCUGAUUGCUAGCGCGACUGUUUCAUUACAAAAGAAGAAUAUCGGUGGCGGCUGGAGGAGAACGAAUGGAACAAUGAGGAAAGGAGGCGUUCCCCUUCCAUCCAUCCCAACAGCAGGAAGUCGAUCGGCUGAGUCGUUGGCUCUUUUGAUAUCUCCCCAGUCGGGACUCGGGAGAGAGAGACAACACGGAGAGUUGCGGCGAAGGGAAGAAAAAAUAAAAUAAAAAAAUAAAAAUGAACGCCAAAAGAUUCCGGAUGAGCGCGCGGACAUGCAGCCCCCCUUUAACUGCACUCAACUCGGAGCGGAUGGGCGGAUCCUUUUUUUAUUCCAAGACGAACUCGAUUCACCUCCAUUUCGGCCGACUACGACGACCAGGUAACAGACACUGUCGGCUCAUCAAUCCUGAUCAUCAUCAUCCCAGUGAAAAACCCAGCGCACCUCCAAGGAAAAGUUCCAGCUCUCGGCCCAGCCCAACUUCAGUCAACUUUUUUUGGGAGGAAUGCACAGAGGAUCGUUCGUGAAGCGGCCAUCUUGUGGACGCCGUGAUAACGAAAUGGCGUCGCCCCAGCACGAUGGAACGUUCGGGAGAAAAGGCGCUGCCAAACGGGGCGAAAUGAACAAUCCUCGUCCGUAGAGCCCACGCCACCGUGUUGGUCAAGAAGCUGCUGCUGCUGCUGCUGGAAACACAAUCCCGCCACCUCAUCGUUGGGAAAAAACUUCGUUGCCGAACCACAGCCCGCUGGCAAAUCACUUAAAAAAAAGAAAAAAAAAACUGGCGUUGUGGAGUUGGGGACAGAAGCUGAAACGAACAAGUUUCUAGACUCUCCUAGACGAAGAAAAAAGAGGAAGACGACGACGAUGUGACUGGAUAAAACCAAAAGUUCUGACAGUUUUAGAUUCCCCUAGCUAUAUAGUACCAUUAUAUAUUUUGCUUUCAUAUUUCAGUAGUUUGUGUGUGUGUGUGCGCAUGAUAGAUCUCUUCUUGUUCUUGUUGGCGUUCUUUUAAUCUCUCUCUCACUGCGAAAGAAGAAGAACACGGACUGGCUUUUUUUUUUUUUGGCAUCUUUUUAGCCAUGCGGGCGCCCCUCUUUUUCCCCGAUGCUAAAUCGUGAGCGCGCUCCCGCCCGUCCCUCCCCGUUAUGCUCUUAUCAUUGUCUCUUUUUUUUUCCCUUCUUCUUCAACUUGAAGAAAAAGGAAAAGAACUUGGAUUGAAGAGAGGGGAGGAGAAGAAAAGAAACGGAUAUCUGUCGACUAGACUUGAUUUGAUCGGGAGAAACAGAAAGAAGAGGGGUAAAUAAUAAUUCAAUUUUUUCUCGUUUGUUUUUUUUCUUUUUUCCAUUUCUCUUGCGUUUUGGUUAGUAACGAUUUUCUUUUGUUUCUCGGACGAGAGAAUAUCUCUUUCGCCUGCCAGUUUUUCUUCUUCUUCGUCUUCUGGUUUUCGAGCCGGAUGGGUGUGAAGCACGCGCGCGGUCACGACGAAGCGCGUGCGCUGGGUCUGGUCUGUAGAAAAGGGCGUCGUCCUUCUUCUUCUUCUUCUUCUUUUUCUUUCGGGUCGACAAAGACGUCCUCCAUCCUCCCUUUUCGUUUCCUUUCGACGUCAGCGGCCGGACCAAUCCCUGAUCGCCUUGUGUUUGCCUCCGCAACGCCGAACCAAGCCGAUGGUACGAGGGGGGGGUUGCAACAUGCACGCCACUUACCACACACACACACACACACACACACCAUCUUUGAUGUAUAUAAAAGGGAAGAAGAAGAACUGCCGAAGAAGAAGAAGAAGUAACACACACACAAUCCCUCCUUACUAUAUUUCCCCCCUUUUACUGCUGUGUCUGUUGUUUCUUCGCCUUUUUACUCUCUUCCCUCAAUUCUCUUCAUUCUUGUUGAGUUCCUUUUAACGUUUUUCUUUAUAGCCUCGAGACUCGGGAAUGAUGGAUCAUUUUUCUUUCUUUUUUCUUCUUUUAUUUUUCGUACGUAAGAAGAAGAAGAAGAAGAAGAGGGGGGUGGUGUUGUUACUGGGCCGGCAUCUCCUCGACGCCCAUCGGAGCGUGUUGGAAAUGAUUCGUUCAACUGUCACUGAAUUUGUCUCUCGGCGCCCUGGACGCGAGCGUCCCCAUACAUCAGCCCGGCAACUAUACUCUCGGACGGACGUCGGGAUCACAACGUUUGGCUAUUAUCUCGCCUAAAAGUUGCCCUUGCGCAAUAAUGCUUACGUUUACAACGGGAAUAAGAGAGAAAGAGACAUGUCUACUACUACCAAGACCCCCAAGUUCUACUGGACUUGAGUGCAGUCGUGUAUCUUGGUCAACUUGGCCGGGAUAGCGAUGGAGGAGGAAAGAAGAAGAAAAAAGCUUUUUUGAUUUCUAAAUAAUUUGAUUUUUUUAAAUCCCCCCUUUUUUCCUUUCCUUGUGCUAGCGGGGCUGUGAAGUCGUUUCCAAAGCGUCGGUAGUCAUUUUUCAUAUUUCUUCCUUCAACUGUUGAGUAUUUUCUUUUUCUUUCGUUUUGCCUCUUGAAAAAUCUUUGCUGAAGAAAACUGCCCAAAGAAGAAAACCGGACCACACCGUCUUCCCCUUUUUACUGGGCGAACAAAAUUUCCUUUUCCCCGAGUUCUUUUUUAUUUUCAGAUUUUGACUCCAAACAGACGCAUCACAGACGCGUAGAUUUGAAAAGAGACUGACGGACAGACAGCUAAAGGUCCUUUUUUUCUUCUUCUUCUUUUUCUUUCCUUCUUCCCGUUCUCCCUUCUUCUUCUUUUUUGGGUUUUUGUUUUGUUUUGGAAUUCCUUUUUUCCAGUCUCUGCAGCUCUUGACCAAACCCUCCCUGGAAAAAAAGAAAAACUCCCUCCCUCAGUUUUGCCCGUCUGAAGAGCGCUUUCAGGGUUCCUUGGCCAGUCGGUAUGGUGUAAGAUCAUCAGUAUUUGCCCAGCCACUUACAGUCAAAGGCUGUGCCCGCAACUGCCGUGCCCGGUCUCUCUCUCUCUCUCUACUUUCUACUUGUGAUUUGUAAAUUGUGUCUGUGAAACAUCUCGAGGCGUUUGUGUGUCGUGGCCGGACAAACUUAGUAGUAGUACUAGUGGACGAAAAGUAGAGGAUAAAAGGUGGGUUCCUUUUUUCUGUUUUCUUUCCAGCUCUUUUUUUUAUUUGUGUCUUUUUAGGAGCCAUUAUGAAUUGAGCACGUCAAGGCACGAGCGUGACGGUGACAUCAUGACUGUAGUGUGUGUGUGUGAGUGUGGCGUCAUCGAGUUCGAAACCCUCACGCUCUGCCGGCCGAGCAAAGAUUCUGACGUCUCGCCUUUUUAUAAAAUUUGAUUUGUCGCCUUCACUUUGUCAUUUGUUUGUGUGUGCCUCGACGUUUCACGUCCGCCUGCCGGGCCUGAUCCUUUGCUCAACCUGUGAUCGUAAACCUUGUAUUACCCUCCUUUGCGGGAGGAGGUGAGCAAAGUUUCAGGUGCGUCAGUUGGAUCGUCUUUCUCACCGCACAAUUGUUUCAAACAAAAAACUAUUCAACAAUUGCAAGGAAAAUGUCCAUCUAGAUUUGGUGUAUUUACGCUCUCAGCCUGAUCCUUGCUCGACCUAAGCCUUUGACAAUGAGCGAGGUGAGCAAAGUUUCAGGUGCGUGAGCGGCACCUCCAGUCGUCCUAUCCGAUCCGUUUUCCGUUAUUAUGUUUUUUUUUAAAUUAUUAUUCGGUAAAUUGUGAACUCUUUUAUUUUGUGUGUGUGUGUUUGAAAUGGGUUUUGUCGUCCGUUUGUUCUCAUCUGAAUAAUACACGACGUGCGGCUUUUA